This 317-nucleotide ribosomal RNA is filed under the name uncultured bacterium. RNAcentral's name for it is "bacterial SSU rRNA". It matches the Rfam family "Bacterial small subunit ribosomal RNA", at positions 8 to 334 of the family's 1533-position model. The record is from RNAcentral.
AGGGUUUGAUUAUGGCUCAGGAUGAACGCUGGCGGCGUGCCUAACACAUGCAAGUCGAGCGAUUCUCUUCGGAGAAGAGCGGCGGACGGGUGAGUAACGCGUGGGUAACCUGCCCUGUACACACGGAUAACAUACCGAAAGGUAUGCUAAUACGGGAUAACAUAAGAAAUUCGCAUGUUUUUCUUAUCAAAGCUCCGGCGGUACAGGAUGGACCCGCGUCUGAUUAGCUAGUUGGUGAGGUAACGGCUCACCAAGGCGACGAUCAGUAGCCGACCUGAGAGGGUGAUCGGCCACAUUGGAACUGAGACACGGUCCAA